Uranotaenia lowii is the source of this 561-nucleotide long non-coding RNA. RefSeq lists it as uncharacterized. The record is from RefSeq and is a predicted model, not a curated record. NCBI's taxonomy places the organism in Eukaryota, Metazoa, Arthropoda, Insecta, Diptera, Culicidae. The transcript is spliced from 3 exons.
ACUAACGAGUAUUUUUGCAACACGUCGCUGUCACCACACACACGGUCCGAGUUUGGCAAAAAAAACUUUCCCGGUACAGUUUGCUUGAAUUAAAACAAGAAGAUCGGAAUUGUUAGGCGAUGGCCUCGGUUCAAUUGAGAAUGGAGCUCACGGCAAGUAGGAGGCACCAGCAGAUAAAUUGCAGAUUCCGGAAGAUUGGUAGGACGUUUAGUGGACUAAUACCGGAAUCGAUAAUGUAGAGAUCACAUCAACGGAAAAUUCGUCAACUGGUUGCGAAAAUGUAGUAAUUUUCGGGCGACGUGGUACUGGCAAAACUGAAUUUCUGCUCUACAAAUUUUCCUUGGAAGGAAUCCAACUGAAUGAAGCCGGAUCGUUAUGUGAUGGUCUCUGUUCCAGCGGUAGUGGAGCUGACGUAACGCUGAACCAACUCUAGACGACUUCUCAGCCACCAUAUAAUAACCAGGAGUAGCAGCAAAAGGAGAAUUUCGAUUUUAUAAAACGUGCGGAAUUUCAAACAGUGUAGUACAAGGUGUAGACUAAUUUUGUGAUAAUAAACGAUUA